GACAGAGGUGCCAAGCGUUAGGCGGAAUCACUGGGCUUAAAGCGUGUGUAGGCGGACUGGUAAGUACCUUGUGAAAUCCCACGGCUCAACCGUGGAACUGCUCGGUAUACUGCUCGUCUUGAGCCACUUAGGGGCUGUCGGAACAAACGGUGGAGCGGUGAAAUGCGUAGAUAUCGGGCGGAACAUCAGUGGCGAAGGCGGCCCUCUGGUCCAGUACUGACACUCAAGUGCGAAAGCGUGGGGAGCAAACAGG
RNAcentral lists this ribosomal RNA (253 nucleotides) under uncultured bacterium. RNAcentral's name for it is "partial 16S ribosomal RNA". It matches the Rfam family "Bacterial small subunit ribosomal RNA", at positions 524 to 776 of the family's 1533-position model. The record is from RNAcentral.